This 421-nucleotide ribosomal RNA is filed under the name Phoma leveillei. Its description in RNAcentral is "SSU rRNA". It matches the Rfam family "Eukaryotic small subunit ribosomal RNA", at positions 51 to 476 of the family's 1831-position model. RNAcentral also lists the same sequence under 1 other name. The record is from RNAcentral. Lineage: Eukaryota; Fungi; Ascomycota; Dothideomycetes; Pleosporales; Didymellaceae.
AUGCAUGUCUGAGUAUAAGCAAUUAUACCGUGAAACUGCGAAUGGCUCAUUAAAUCAGUUAUCGUUUAUUUGAUAGUACCUUACUACUUGGAUAACCGUGGUAAUUCUAGAGCUAAUACAUGCUGAAAACCCCAACUUCGGGAGGGGUGUAUUUAUUAGAUAAAAAACCAACGCCCUUCGGGGCUUCUUGGUGAUUCAUGAUAACUUCACGGAUCGCAUGGCCUUGCGCCGGCGACGGUUCAUUCAAAUUUCUGCCCUAUCAACUUUCGAUGGUAAGGUAUUGGCUUACCAUGGUUUCAACGGGUAACGGGGAAUUAGGGUUCGAUUCCGGAGAGGGAGCCUGAGAAACGGCUACCACAUCCAAGGAAGGCAGCAGGCGCGCAAAUUACCCAAUCCCGACACGGGGAGGUAGUGACAAUAA